Sarcophilus harrisii (Tasmanian devil) is the source of this 2166-nucleotide long non-coding RNA. The record is from Ensembl. NCBI's taxonomy places the organism in Eukaryota, Metazoa, Chordata, Mammalia, Dasyuromorphia, Dasyuridae.
AAAACAGAGUUCCCAUAUCAAAAUAAAAAUAUUACAAAGCUGUUCAAGCACUAAGGAACUAUUGUCAGGAUCAUGUAAGACCUGGUAACUUCAUACAUAAAUUUAAAAAAUCUUGGAAUAUUCCAAAAGAUUAAAGAUUUAUAAUAAAGAUUAAUUAAGUUGAGGAUAAGCUACAGGGGGAAAUGAGUUUUUAAAGAAUUAAAUGACUUUUAAGCAUUAUUUAUGAAAACCUAGAGCUUAGUGAGAUUGUGAAAUAUGAACACAAAAUUAAAAGGAAAUCAAAAAAGGUAAAUGUAUUUGAGCAAUGAAAGGAACUGUGUGGUGACUUGGAUUUGGGACUUACAUUUUAAGAGUGGAUAAAGUAACCAGUAACUUUAAUUUCUCCAAAGGAUAUUGAGGGAAUUGAAUAAGCAAAACAGAGAUAAUGCAGGUGGAUUUGUUUCAAUCUGAGGAUUUAGAGGAGGGUAAAAGAAGGAUGGGUAAAAGGAAUACAUUAAAGUAGAAAAGAACUAAGAGGAUGGAACUAGUGAUUAUUUGUAGCUGAUAUGUAUGACUGGAAGAAGGCAUAGACAUGAAGAAAAGGGUGGAGAAGUGGGCAAUCACUCACCCUUAUCUCCAGAAGGUCUAUAGUGAAGAUUGGAAAAAGAUGAAGAAAAAGGCAUACAUUUUUGGACAUGAUAAUAGUAUAGAUUUCUUUUGCUUGAAUUUGUUAGAAGUAGGUUUUUUUUUUUUUUAAUACCUUCCUCUUCAUUUUAGUGGCGGGGGGAGAGGGAGUCAGUAAUUGGGGGGAUAGAAAGUUAAUAACAGUGAUACCAAGAUAGAGGGUCAUUAGGAAGCACAGAUAAACAAGGUGAUUUUUGAAAAAAUGCAUAAUAUUAUGUAAUUUUAAAAGCAAGCUGUAUGGAAUGAAGAUGGGUGGCUUUAUAUUUUAAACAAAUUCUUAAAAGAUAAUGAUGAAUUUUGGAGGGAAUGUGGAAAAAUUGGGACAUGAAUACAUUGUUGGUGGAAUUGUGAAUGGAUCCAGCCAUUCUGGAGAGCAAUUUGGAACUAUGGUCAAAAAGUUAUCAAACUGUGCAUACCCUUUGAUCCAUCAGUGUUUCUACUGGCCUUUAUCCCAGAGAGAUCUUACUUUCUGAUUUUUUUUUGUUAUUAUAAUAACUUUUUAUUGACAGAACCCAUGCCAGGAUAAUUUUUUACAACAUUAUCCUUUGCACUCACUUCUGUUCCAAUUUUUCCCCUCCCUCCUUCCACCCCUUCCCCUAGAUGGCAAGCAGUCCUAUAUAUGUUAAAUAUGUCGCAGUAUAUCCUAGAUACAAUAUAUGUGUGCAAAACCAAAUAGUUCCCUUGUUGCACAGGGAUAAUUGGAUUCAGAAGGUAGAAAUAACCCAGGAAGAAAGACAAAAAUGCAAGCAGUUUACAUUCAUUUCCCAGUGUUCUUUCUUUGGGUGUAGCUGCUUCUGUCCAUCCUUGAGCAAUUAAAACUGAGUUAGAUCUCUUUGUCAAAGAAAUCCACUUCCAUCAGAAUACAUCUUCAUACAGUAUCGUUGCUGAAGAAUAUAAUGAUCUCCUGGUUCUGUUCAUUUCACUUAGCAUUAGUCCAGAGAAAUCUUAAAGGAGGGAAAGGGCCCCACAUGUGCAAAAAUGUUUGUGACUGCCCUUUUUGUAGAGGCAAGAAACUGGAAACUGAAUGGAUGCCCAUCAAUUGGAGAAUGGCUGAAUAAGUUAUGGUAUAUGAACAUUAUUGUUCUAUAAGAAAUGAUCAACAAAAUGAUUUUAGAGAGGCCUGGAGAUACUUACAUGAACUGAUGUUAAGUAAAGUGAGUAGAACUAGGAGAUCAGUGUACAAGGCAACAACAAGAUUAUACAAUGAUUAAUUAUAAUGGACAUGGCUCUUUCCAACAAUGAGAUGAUUCAGAUCAGUUCCAAUAAUCUUGUGAUGAAGAAAGCCCUCUAUGCCCAGAGAAAGGACUGUGAGAACUGAGUAUGGACCACAACAUAGCAUUUUCACUCUUUUUGUUGUUGUUUGCUUGUAUUUUGUUUUCUUUCUCAGUUUUUUUCCUUCUUGAUCCGAUUUUUCUUGUGCAGAAAAAUAAUUGUAUAAAUAUGUAUAUACGUAUUGAAUUUAACACAUAUUUUAACAUAAAAAAUUCCUAGUUAGCAAUCCUG